This 447-nucleotide ribosomal RNA is filed under the name uncultured bacterium. RNAcentral's name for it is "bacterial SSU rRNA". It matches the Rfam family "Bacterial small subunit ribosomal RNA", at positions 355 to 825 of the family's 1533-position model. The record is from RNAcentral.
UGGGGAAUAUUGGACAAUGGGCGCAAGCCUGAUCCAGCCAUGCCGCGUGAGUGACGAAGGCCUUAGGGUUGUAAAGCUCUUUUGGCGGGGAAGAUAAUGACGGUACCCGCAGAAUAAGGUCCGGCUAACUACGUGCCAGCAGCCGCGGUAAUACGUAGGGACCAAGCGUUGUUCGGAUUUACUGGGCGUAAAGGGCGCGUAGGCGGCAAUUCAAGUCAUCUGUGAAAUCUCCGGGCUUAACUCGGAACGGUCAGAUGAUACUGCUUUGCUAGAGUGCAGAAGGGGCAAUCGGAAUUCUUGGUGUAGCGGUGAAAUGCGUAGAUAUCAAGAGGAACACCUGAGGUGAAGACGGGUUGCUGGGCUGACACUGACGCUGAGGCGCGAAAGCCAGGGGAGCAAACGGGAUUAGAUACCCUGGUAGUCCCUGAGCGGGCUGGCAAGGCGCAU